GGCAGCUUAUAUGCCCAUGUUGCACUCUCGCAUUUUUACCGAGACUGAAAAGUACUGUGACCAGGAAUUUACCACUUGCAAGGAGGAUCAGCCAUUGUUUGUCCAAUUUUGUGCAAAUGAUCCAGACAUUUGUUAGAGGCUGCAAAGAGAGUGGAACCUUUUUGUGACUAUGUUGACAUCAAUUUGGGGUGGCUUUGCUGUUAAUUUGGGUUGCUGAUAUAAUGAAACAUGUGAAGAAUUUAGAAUUUGGGAAGGGACAUGUAUAUAAAGCUGUGCAUGUAAUCGAUUUUUAUUUCCUUUCAUCAACUUUGGCCUUAUAUAGGAUGUAUUAGGAUUUGUUCUGUUCACCUACUACCAUAAUAGAUUGUGCAAAGAACCUUGUUUUUACAAUUUAAAACUCUUGCCCCUAUUGACUAUUGAAUUAGAUCAUAUAAAUAUUGAUCGGGUUAAUUUGA
Long non-coding RNA from Quercus lobata, 455 nucleotides. RefSeq lists it as uncharacterized. The transcript is spliced from 3 exons. The record is from RefSeq and is a predicted model, not a curated record. Lineage: Eukaryota; Viridiplantae; Streptophyta; Magnoliopsida; Fagales; Fagaceae.